Molecule: long non-coding RNA, 1160 nt
Organism: Oncorhynchus gorbuscha (pink salmon)
Lineage: Eukaryota; Metazoa; Chordata; Actinopteri; Salmoniformes; Salmonidae
Exons: 3
Source: RefSeq, a predicted model, not a curated record
UCAUAAUCACCAGUCUUCUGUUAUGGACCUGUCACAGGGCUCCAAGCUGACCUAGGUCAUAAUCACCAGUCUUCUGUUAUGGACCUGUCACAGGGCUCCAAGCUGACCUAGGUCAUAAUCACCAGUCUUCUGUUAUGGACCUGUCACAGGGCUCCAAGCUGACCUAGGUCAUAAUCACCAGUCUUCUGUUAUGGACCUGUCACAGGGUUCCAAGCUGACCUAGGUCAUAAUCACCAGUCUUCUGUUAUGGACCUGUCACAGGGUUCCAAGCUGACCUAGGUCAUAAUCACCAGUCUUCUGUUAUGGACCUGUCACAGGGUUCCAAGCUGACCUAGGUCAUAAUCACCAGUCUUCUGUUAUGGACCUGUCACAGGGUUCCAAGCUGACCUAGGUCAUAAUCACCAGUCUUCUGUUAUGGACCUGUCACAGGGUUCCAAGCUGACCUAGGUCAUAAUCACCAGUCUUCUGUUAUGGACCUGUCACAGGGUUCCAAGCUGACCUAGGUCAUAAUCACCAGUCUUCUGUUAUGGACCUGUCACAGGGUUCCAAGCUGACCUAGGUCAUAAUCACCAGUCUUCUGUUAUGGACCUGUCACAGGGUUCCAAGCUGACCUAGGUCAUAAUCACCAGUCUUCUGUUAUGGACCUGUCACAGGGUUCCAAGCUGACCUAGGUCAUAAUCACCAGUCUUCUGUUAUGGACCUGUCACAGGGUUCCAAGCUGACCUAGGUCAUAAUCACCAGUCUUCUGUUAUGGACCUGUCACAGGGUUCCAAGCUGACCUAGGUCAUAAUCACCAGUCUUCUGUUAUGGACCUGUCACAGGGUUCCAAGCUGACCUAGGUCAUAAUCACCAGUCUUCUGUUAUGGACCUGUCACAGGGUUCCAAGCUGACCUAGGUCAUAAUCACCAGUCUUCUGUUAUGGACCUGUCACAGGGUUCCAAGCUGACCUAGGUCAUAAUCACCAGUCUUCUGUUAUGGACCUGUCACAGGGUUCCAAGCUGACCUAGGUCAUAAUCACCAGUCUUCUGUUAUGGACCUGUCACAGGGUUCCAAGCUGACCUAGGUCAUAAUCACCAGUCUUCUGUUAUGGACCUGUCACAGGGCUCCAAGCUGACCUAGGUCAUAAUCACCAGUCUUCUGUUAUGGACCUGUCACAGGGC